RNAcentral lists this ribosomal RNA (472 nucleotides) under uncultured bacterium. RNAcentral describes it as "partial 16S ribosomal RNA". It matches the Rfam family "Bacterial small subunit ribosomal RNA", at positions 28 to 507 of the family's 1533-position model. The record is from RNAcentral.
GACGAACGCUGGCGGCGUGCUUAACACAUGCAAGUCGAACGCUGAAGCUUGGUGCUUGCUCUGGGUGGAUGAGUGGCGAACGGGUGAGUAAUACGUGAGUAACCUGCCCUUGACUCUGGGAUAAGCCUGGGAAACUGGGUCUAAUACUGGAUACGACAUGUCACCGCAUGGUGGUGUGUGGAAAGGGUUUUACUGGUUUUGGAUGGGCUCACGGCCUAUCAGCUUGUUGGUGGGGUAAUGGCUCACCAAGGCGACGACGGGUAGCCGGCCUGAGAGGGUGACCGGCCACACUGGGACUGAGACAGGGCCCAGACUCCUACGGGAGGCAGCAGUGGGGAAUAUUGCACAAUGGGCGAAAGCCUGAUGCAGCGACGCCGCGUGAGGGAUGACGGCCUUCGGGUUGUAAACCUCUUUCAGCACGGAAGAAGCGAAAGUGACGGUACGUGCAGAAGAAGCGCCGGCUAACUACGUG